AACGAACGCUGGCGGCAUGCCUAACACAUGCAAGUCGAACGAGACCUUCGGGUCUGGUGGCGCACGGGUGCGUAACGCGUGGGAACCUGCCCUUAGGUUCGGAAUAACUCCCCGAAAGGGGUGCUAAUACCGGAUAAUGUCUUCGGACCAAAGAUUUAUCGCCUUUGGGUGGGCCCGCGUUGGAUUAGCUUGUUGGUAGGGUAAAAGCCUACCAAGGCGACGAUCCAUAGCUGGUCUGAGAGGAUGAUCAGCCACACUGGGACUGAGAAACGGUCCAGACUACUACGGGAGGCAGCAGUGGGGAAUAUUGGACAAUGGGCGAAAGCCUGAUCCAGCAAUGCCGGGUGAGUGAUGAAGGCCUUAGGGUUGUAAAGCUCGUUUACCCGGGAUGAUAAUGACAGUACCGGGAGAAUAAGCACCGGCUAACUCCGUG
This 433-nucleotide ribosomal RNA is filed under the name uncultured bacterium. RNAcentral's name for it is "partial 16S ribosomal RNA". It matches the Rfam family "Bacterial small subunit ribosomal RNA", at positions 29 to 507 of the family's 1533-position model. The record is from RNAcentral.